AACGUUAGUGUUAAAAAACUGAAACAGGAAGUGCUUCUGGACCAGUGUUGUUUACAUCUUGUGAAAUGGUCUAUACAAACACAAACCGACCGCAGGCAGAGCUGUGGGGAUUUAUUAAUACUCUAAAAGCAACUUGAUGGAUUUAGAGACCGGAAGAAACGAACUGGGUGCGAUGGGAGAUUCGCUGCAGCCGCAGACCCCCAGUCGCCACGAGAAAAGUCUCGGGCUCCUCACGACUAAAUUUGUGACUCUGCUGCAGGAAGCGAAGGACGGAGUGCUGGAUCUGAAAGCUGCUGCAGAUACUUUGGCUGUAAGACAGAAAAGGCGGAUAUAUGACAUCACCAAUGUUUUGGAAGGAAUUGGACUUAUUGAAAAGAAAUCCAAAAACAGCAUCCAGUGGAAAAUCAGAGUACAAUAGUGAAAUCUGUGCCAUUGGCAAAGCGACACUGGACUUUCUCAAGGAAGGGCAAGCGGGACUGGAGGAGGUCCACCUGGUGCACAGUUAUGUCCUUGCACAUGGACACAUCGAGGGUCCUGAGUCUGUCACAGUGCAGCGCAAUUAUGGAAAGAGUGCUGUAGGAACACAUUAACCAUGUUAAGCAGAGCUCAGUAGUUUAGUGUGAAAACAGCACUGGAUGAGGUCACUCACUCGUUUGUAACCGCGUCGCAGCAGGCCAGGAAUAGAUGCUGCAGUCUGUGGAGGAGCGGAAGGGCCCGCGCCAUACCUUGGUCACUGAUCUGGGGACAGAGGUUGAGUGCCAGGCUCGUGAGGUUGCGGCAGUGAAGAGCUACGGACACCAAGCUGUCGUCGCUGAUCUCGGGCAGCAUGGAAAGCGAGAGACGCUGCAGGUCUGGGAAACGGAGUACCUGAGGUGGCCAGGAACAUUUUGUAAUGGACUACAAUUUGCAAGCAGCGGCGUUUCUAUUAUGGACUGACCUGUGUGAUACUGGUGUCGGUUAACUUCGAGCAGGCCGACAGGUCCAGUUCCUGAAGACCCCUGAGGGCCAGCAGUGAUGCUCCUUCCCGAUCUCUAAACGCCCCCAGGUCCUCAUCGGUUACGAGACGUGGCUUCUCCUGGAAAGGCAUGCUGGGAGGCUGGAAAAAGCCCAUGUUUCCAAAUGUCCUGCAGCCCCCAGUCUGAGAUCUCUUUGCACCAGCCGAGCCGCAGCACCAGCAGCGCAGGGAGAUAGUUUGCGAUGGCGUGAACACUGAGGUCGGUGAGGUAGACGCAGGAGUUUCUUAGGCUAAGGGACUGCAGCUGCGCCCUGGGCUGUGGACAGGACAAUCCCUUCACCAGGUCUGUCCCGCUGACAUGCAGACACUCCGACAGAUCCAAAGUCCUCAAGCACGGCAGCGCCAUCAGCUCGGUCAGGCCUUUAUCUGUUAUCUUCCAGUCCUGCGAGAGGGUCAGCGACUGCAGAUCCUUCAGCUCAGUGGACACCGCCAGCACCGUCCUACUGGUCAACUCAGUGCAGGCACCGAGAUCCAGCGUCCUCAGGCCGUUCUGGUGCUUGCAGAGGGUUUCUAUGGAGUAGUCAGUCAGCUCUUUACAGCCGCGUAGACUCAGAUCCUCCAGACGGAGGCCGGGCACCUGAGCUAUGGAGCGGAGGGAUUCGGGGGUGAUGCUGGUGCGACUCAAGUCCAGGCUGUGGAGCGUACAGGCCUGCUUCUGCAAGAGAGUCAGGAGGUUCCGGAGGGAAACUAGAGCCGAGGAGCCGGACCCAACAGGGCUACCUCGGUAUGGGUCAAACUCGAAAGCGAUGUGGCACCCGGCCAGGGCCAGACCGCGCAACCUGGGCGUGCAACUCGUCAGCCGGUUGAAAGAGAGAUCGGAGAGGUAGCGGAGAUCAGACAAGUCCAGUUCCUCCAGAAAAGCCCCAGACAUGAAGAGGCUGUCCAGCCCGUGAAGGUCCAGCUUGCGGAGGCCGGUCAGAUGUGGCAGGAGGCCCAGCAGGGAAGACUCUGUGAUGCUGCUGCCCGGUAGAGCCAAACUGUCCAAGUGAGGGCCUAGGUGAAGCCCCACUUCCAAAAGUACUUGUCUUGACAGGCUGGAUCCAUCAAGAUGACUGAUGACUAGGCCACAGCGAGGGCGCCUUGCAAGUGCACGGAUAAAGUCCAGUGAAGAUGUGGAAACAUGGAACUUGAAGGUGGCAUUUUUCUAGAUUUAAACACCCAAAAGACAAUUGAAACAAAUGUGGAAGAAGUGGACUAAACCAAAACAUGAAUGUCUACAUUUAGUAUAAAUUUAAAUUAAGAUCAUCUUGAUAUUCCAAUGAAAAUGAGAAAAACCUGAAACCGGUGGUCUUGGCUUGCUUCGUACCAACUCUUACAGACCAGUGACGCCUCCUUUCGAUCCGUUACAUGAAGGUAACUCAAUAUGUAGGAGAUAAUCUGGAGCAGAAGGGAGAAAAUGUACAGGUUACAACACUCUCUCUGGAACAUAUGAAGUCAAGACUGAACUAUAUAAUGAAAGUUGUCACAUUUUGCUCAUGUUAUACAUUAUAUUAUACACUAUUUUUAUUGUGUGUGUGUUGGGGGGGUAUUAAUGAAUAUUUUAAUUAUAUGAUAUAUGAAUUAUAAAUAAUUACGUACGUAAUACGUACGUACGUAUACACACAAUUAUAAUCCAUUUAUAUUAUUAAUAUAUAAACAUAAUUUUAUUGUGACAACGUGCCCCACAUAGAGAAAAAAAACUGGUAUAAGUUAUUCCCAUAGACUGUAAAAAGGUUAUUCCUAAUACAUCUACGCCAACCAAUGUCUGUCUGUCCGUUUAUCUAUCAAUCGUUUUUUGUUCUCCUUCAAAAUAUCCAUUGUGUGUGCUAUGCUACAGA
Pimephales promelas (fathead minnow) is the source of this 2832-nucleotide non-coding RNA. Lineage: Eukaryota; Metazoa; Chordata; Actinopteri; Cypriniformes; Leuciscidae. The record is from RefSeq and is a predicted model, not a curated record.